This 292-nucleotide ribosomal RNA is filed under the name uncultured bacterium. RNAcentral's name for it is "partial 16S ribosomal RNA". The record is from RNAcentral.
GGACUACAGGGGUUUCUAAUCCUGUUUGCUCCCCACGCUUUCGCACCUCAGCGUCAGUAUCAGGCCAGGUAGCCGCCUUCGCCACUGAUGUUCCUUCCGAUAUCUACGCAUUUCACCGCUACACCGGAAAUUCCACUACCCUCUUCUGUACUCUAGACUUGCAGUUUCACGUGCAGUUCCCAGGUUAAGCCCAGGUAUUUCACACUUGACUUACAAACCCGCCUACGUGCCCUUUACGCCCAAUAAUUCCGAUUAACGCUUGCACCCUCUGUCUUACCGCGGCUGCUGGCAC